RNAcentral lists this transfer RNA (74 nucleotides) under Stegodyphus mimosarum. It matches the Rfam family "tRNA". Rfam says of the family: Transfer RNA (tRNA) molecules are approximately 80 nucleotides in length. Their secondary structure includes four short double-helical elements and three loops (D, anti-codon, and T loops). The record is from Rfam by way of RNAcentral. Lineage: Eukaryota; Metazoa; Arthropoda; Arachnida; Araneae; Eresidae.
GCCUUCGUGGUGCAGUGGUCAGCACGCUCGACUCAUAAUCUAAGAGAUCCGUGGUUCGAUUUCCGGCGAAGGCG